UUUUCGUAGGUGAACCUGCGGAAGGAUCAUUAGUGAAGUAUAACAAGGGGUGCUCUUUAUUGAGACCCUGACUCCACUUUUUCAAACACUGUGCACUAGAAACUGAUUUAACUUCUUGACUUGCUCGAAUUCAUUUUUGAACGAGCCGAUCAGUUAAACCAAUUUUUUUAACACCUUUUGGAUUUAAUUGAGAUGAGAAUGUUGUAAACGAUGAAAAUCAUAAAACAACUUUCAGCAACGGAUGUCUUGGCUCUC
RNAcentral lists this unclassified non-coding RNA (255 nucleotides) under plant metagenome. RNAcentral describes it as "partial contains small subunit ribosomal RNA, internal transcribed spacer 1, and 5.8S ribosomal RNA". The record is from RNAcentral.